This 193-nucleotide ribosomal RNA is filed under the name uncultured bacterium. RNAcentral describes it as "partial 16S ribosomal RNA". It matches the Rfam family "Bacterial small subunit ribosomal RNA", at positions 1308 to 1500 of the family's 1533-position model. The record is from RNAcentral.
CAACUCGACUACAUGAAGCUGGAAUCGCUAGUAAUCGCAGAUCAGAAUGCUGCGGUGAAUACGUUCCCGGGUCUUGUACACACCGCCCGUCACACCAUGGGAGUCGGGAAUGCCCGAAGUCAGUGACCCAACCGCAAGGAGGGAGCUGCCGAAGGCAGGCUCGAUAACUGGGGUGAAGUCGUAACAAGGUAAC